CGUUCCCGGGUCUUAUACACACCGCCCGUCACACCACGAAAGUCGGCAACACCCGAAGCCGGUGGCCUAACCCGCAAGGGAGGGAGCCGUCGAAGGUGGGGCUGGCGAUUGGGGUG
RNAcentral lists this ribosomal RNA (116 nucleotides) under uncultured bacterium. Its description in RNAcentral is "partial 16S ribosomal RNA". It matches the Rfam family "Bacterial small subunit ribosomal RNA", at positions 1369 to 1482 of the family's 1533-position model. The record is from RNAcentral.